This 277-nucleotide signal recognition particle RNA is filed under the name Ciona intestinalis (vase tunicate). It matches the Rfam family "Metazoan signal recognition particle RNA". Rfam says of the family: The signal recognition particle (SRP) is a universally conserved ribonucleoprotein. It is involved in the co-translational targeting of proteins to membranes. Lineage: Eukaryota; Metazoa; Chordata; Ascidiacea; Phlebobranchia; Cionidae. The record is from RNAcentral.
GUGGCGUGCGCCUGUAAUCCAGUCACUUGGAGGCNUGGGUUGGAGGACGGCGUGAGAUUGGGAGCCCUGUGGCGCUCUGCCCUAUGUCGAUCGGGCGUCCGCGNUAAGCUCGGCGUCAAUAUGGACAUCCCGGGGGAGCUUGGGGUGGCCAGGUUGUCUAAGGAGGAACGAACCGGGCGAGGCCCGAAAGGGAGCAGCCAAAAGUUNCCCACGUUGAUCAGUAGCGGGAUAGCGCCUGUGAAUAGGUCGNAGUGUCACAGCCCAGUCAAUNUCGCAG